RNAcentral lists this ribosomal RNA (503 nucleotides) under uncultured bacterium. Its description in RNAcentral is "partial 16S ribosomal RNA". It matches the Rfam family "Bacterial small subunit ribosomal RNA", at positions 28 to 523 of the family's 1533-position model. The record is from RNAcentral.
GAUGAACGCUAGCGGCAGGCCUAACACAUGCAAGUCGAGGGGUAGCAGGAUUAAGCUUGCUUAAUUGCUGACGACCGGCGCACGGGUGCGUAACGCGUAUGCAACCUACCUUAUACUGGGGUAUAGCCCGGAGAAAUUCGGAUUAAUCCCCCAUAGUACUAAUGAAUCGCAUGGUUUAUUAGUUAAAGCAUUGCGGUAUAAGAUGGGCAUGCGUCCUAUUAGCUAGAUGGUGAGGUAACGGCUCACCAUGGCUACGAUAGGUAGGGGGGCUGAGAGGGCGGUACCCCACACUGGAACUGAGACACGGACCAGACUCGUACGGGAGGCAGCAGUGAGGAAGAUUGGGCAAUGGGCGCAAGCCUGAACCAGCCAUGCCGCGUGCAGGAAGAAUGCCCUAUGGGUUGAAAACUGCUUUUAUUUGGGAAUAAACCUCUUUACGUGUAGAGAGCUGAAGGUACCAAAUGAAUAAGCACCGGCUAACUCCGUGCCAGCCGCCGCGGUAA